RNAcentral lists this ribosomal RNA (905 nucleotides) under uncultured archaeon. Its description in RNAcentral is "bacterial SSU rRNA". It matches the Rfam family "Archaeal small subunit ribosomal RNA", at positions 20 to 903 of the family's 1478-position model. The record is from RNAcentral.
GACCCGACUGCUAUCGGCAUGGGAUUAAGCCAUGCGAGUUGAGCGUCUUCCAGCUGUGGAAGGCGCGGCGUACGGCUCAGUAACACGUAGUUAACCUACCUUGAAGACGCGGAUAAUCCCGGGAAACUGGGGCUAAUACGCGAUAGAUUCAAAGUUCUGGAAUGGCUUUGAAUCCAAAAGGCUGAAGGAGCAUGCUUCUUCAGUCGCUUCAAGAUGGGACUGCGGCCGAUCAGGUAGUUGGCGGGGUAAUGGCCCACCAAGCCUAUAACCGGUGCGGGCUCUGAGAGGAGGAGCCCGGAGAUGGACACUGAGACAAGGGUCCAGGCCCUACGGGGCGCAGCAGGCGCGAAACCUUCACAAUGCGCGAAAGCGCGAUGAGGCUAUACCGAGUGUCAUCCGCUGAGGGUGACUUUUCCUCGAUCUAAAACAUCGGGGGAAUAAGGGGAGGGCAAGCCUGGUGUCAGCCGCCGCGGUAAUACCAGCUCCCCGAGUGGUCGGGACGAUUAUUGGGCCUAAAGCAUCCGUAGCCGGCUUCACAGGUCUCUUGUUAAAUCCAACGGCUCAACCGUUGGACUGCAGGGGAUACUAUGGAGCUAGGGGGCGGGAGAGGCGGACGGUACUCCAUGGGUAGGGGUAAAAUCCUUUGAUCCAUGGAAGACCACCAGUGGCGAAGGCGGUCCGCUAGAACGCGCCCGACGGUGAGGGAUGAAAGCUGGGGGAGCGAACCGGAUUAGAUACCCGGGUAGUCCCAGCCGUAAACGAUGCAGGCUAGGUGAUAGAGAGGCUAUACGCCUUUCUAGUGCCGCAGGGAAGCCGAUAAGCCUGCCGCCUGGGGAGUACGGCCGCAAGACUGAAACUUAAAGGAAUUGGCGGGGGAGCACCACAAGGGGUGAAGCCUGCGGUUC